AGCGAACGCUGGCGGCAGGCCUAACACAUGCAAGUCGAACGAACUCUUCGGAGUUAGUGGCGGACGGGUGAGUAACACGUGGGAACGUGCCUUUUGGUUCGGAAUAACUCAGGGAAACUUGUGCUAAUACCGAAUAUGCCCUUCGGGGGAAAGAUUUAUCGCCAUUAGAGCGGCCCGCGUCUGAUUAGCUAGUUGGUGAGGUAACGGCUCACCAAGGCGACGAUCAGUAGCUGGUCUGAGAGGAUGACCAGCCACACUGGGACUGAGACACGGCCCAGACUCCUACGGGAGGCAGCAGUGGGGAAUCUUGCGCAAUGGGCGAAAGCCUGACGCAGCCAUGCCGCGUGAAUGAUGAAGGUCUUAGGAUUGUAAAAUUCUUUCACCGGGGACGAUAAUGACGGUACCCGGAGAAGAAGCCCCGGCUAACUUUGUG
Molecule: ribosomal RNA, 433 nt
Filed under: uncultured bacterium
Lineage: Bacteria
Description: partial 16S ribosomal RNA
Rfam family: Bacterial small subunit ribosomal RNA
Source: RNAcentral